GCAGAAUAAAUUAUCCUUAGCCUUCAACAGUAUAACAACUGAUAGAAUACAAUAGACAACAAGUUUUAGAUCAACAACUGCAGCGGAAAUAAGCAAUCCAUUAGAAGAGUCAAGUAGAGCAUAAAAUCUAUUAUCUUCUAUGAUUUAAAAAGUUUUUCAUCAACUUUAUCGCUGAGACUCAGCUUAAUAAAUAAAAUCGAAUCAUCCCUGCACUACGGCCAA
Molecule: long non-coding RNA, 222 nt
Filed under: Panax ginseng (ginseng)
Lineage: Eukaryota; Viridiplantae; Streptophyta; Magnoliopsida; Apiales; Araliaceae
Description: long non-coding RNA (PGIN_LNC003042)
Source: RNAcentral